AACGAACGCUGGCGGCAUGCCUAACACAUGCAAGUCGAACGAGACCUUCGGGUCGAGUGUCGCACGGGUGCGUAACGCGGGGUAACCUGCCCUUAGGUUCCGAAUAACUCCCGGAAAGGGGUUCUAAUACCGGAUAAUUACUGGGUACCAAAGAUUUAGCGCCUUUGGAUGGUCGCGCGUUUGAUUAGCUAGUUGGAAGGAUAAAAGCAUGCCAAGGCUAGGAGCGAUAACUGGUCUGGGAGGAUGGUCAGGCACACUGGGACUGAGACACGGCCCAGACUGCUACAGUAGGCAGUGGGUGGGAGUCUUAGACAGUGGGCCAACGUGUAAUAAAGCAGUGCCAUGUGAGUUAUGCAGCUCUUAGAUGUGUAUAGCCCUCCUACCGCGGAUGAUGAUGACAGUACCGGGAGAAUAAGCUCCGGCUAACUCCGUG
RNAcentral lists this ribosomal RNA (433 nucleotides) under uncultured bacterium. RNAcentral's name for it is "partial 16S ribosomal RNA". It matches the Rfam family "Bacterial small subunit ribosomal RNA", at positions 29 to 507 of the family's 1533-position model. The record is from RNAcentral.